RNAcentral lists this ribosomal RNA (275 nucleotides) under uncultured bacterium. RNAcentral's name for it is "partial 16S ribosomal RNA". It matches the Rfam family "Bacterial small subunit ribosomal RNA", at positions 338 to 630 of the family's 1533-position model. The record is from RNAcentral.
CCUACGGGUGGCUGCAGUGGGGAAUCUUGCGCAAUGGGCGAAAGCCUGACGCAGCAACGCCGCGUGCGGGAAGACGGCCUUCGGGUUGUAAACCGCUUUCAGCAGGGACGAAACUGACGGUACCUGCAGAAGAAGCUCCGGCCAACUACGUGCCAGCAGCCGCGGUAAGACGUAGGGGGCGAGCGUUGUCCGGAAUUAUUGGGCGUAAAGGGCUCCUAGGCGGUUCAGUAAGUCGACUGUGAAAAUCCAAGGCUCAACCUUGGGACGCCAGUCGA